Molecule: long non-coding RNA, 675 nt
Organism: Morus notabilis
Lineage: Eukaryota; Viridiplantae; Streptophyta; Magnoliopsida; Rosales; Moraceae
Exons: 3
Source: RefSeq, a predicted model, not a curated record
CUCUCUCUCUCUCUCUCUCUCUCUCCUUCACUUCUCUCUCUGCUAGGGUUGAUCUCCGACGACGAUUGAAGCUCUGACGGCCGGCCGAGUGAAGCUUCGUCGGAUCAUGUUCCCACUGUUUUUGACAAUUUCAGUGCCAAUAUCAUGGUUGAUGGUCAAGCUGUGAAUCUGGGUUUGUGGGAUACUGCUGGUAUAAUAAGUUAGUGGAAAAGGGGGGAAAGAAAGACAUAGGAAUCUGACAACCAGCAGAACAAACGCAAUUUUGGUUGCUAGACACUAGUAGAGUUUUUGAUGCAUUUGCGACACCUACAUUAGUAGAGGGUGGUUUGGAAUACUUACUCUUUUUUUUUUUUUGUCAACACUAGAUAGAAAGGUUUUUAAUGCCAUGAUGCUUCCAUCUUUCUGAGAAAAUUUACUUUCUAGCUAAUAUCUUAUAUCUUCAAAGCCAUUAUGUAUAUCAUGAUGAGAGGGGGAGAGAGACAAACAAUUUGUGACUUGCGAGUUAUGAAUUGAUUUUCAAUUCAAUUCAUAGGUAUAUUUAUUUGCUUGAUUAUGUUCUUGUGUUAAUGUUCUUUGUUAGCGUUGUGAUUAGGCUUGAAAAGAAUUUUUAAGGUUAUGUCUUGCUCUGUUCUUAGUUGACCUAAUUUAUAUGUGAAAAGUUAUUGAUUUACAACC